Molecule: long non-coding RNA, 564 nt
Filed under: Hordeum vulgare
Lineage: Eukaryota; Viridiplantae; Streptophyta; Magnoliopsida; Poales; Poaceae
Description: long non-coding RNA (HVUL_LNC003575)
Source: RNAcentral
AAAACUUCAUGCGUUUCAAAAAAUGUUUGUGAAUUUAAAAUAAAAUCCUCCAACAUAAAAAAAUAUGUUCGUCUUUUCUUCAAUUGGUCGCCAAUUCAAAUGAAAAUAUUUAAACCUGUUCAAAAUAUAAAAAAUAUUCACGAUUUUUAGCAAAUGUUUAUAAAUUGUAAAAAAUGUUCUCAAUUUUAAAAUUGUUUCCAUAUUUGUAAAAUUGUUCACGAAAGAUCUAAUGUAUGUAGUUGAACAUUAAUGCUUCUAAGUCUUUGUGACAAAAUAAUCGUUGAAUUUUGAGUAAUAAACUGUUGAAUGGAUCGGAUUAUUAUUGUAUGUUUUCUAAAAAAAUUCUUGAAAUUCAGAAUAAAUCUUUGAGUUACCAAGAUUUUUGNUGAGUUACCAAGAUUUUUGACUACCAUGAUAUAUAUUUUUUGAAAAUGUAAAGUUUGCUUCGACUUGUGAAUAAAUUUAAAAGAAGAAACAUUUUCUUGCAUUUCUGCGCAAAAUUUCUAAAUCAAGCGAUGAUAUGUGAACGUAAUGUGGUUACCAUCAUUGAAGAUUAUGUUUUUU